This 467-nucleotide ribosomal RNA is filed under the name uncultured bacterium. RNAcentral describes it as "partial 16S ribosomal RNA". It matches the Rfam family "Bacterial small subunit ribosomal RNA", at positions 28 to 507 of the family's 1533-position model. The record is from RNAcentral.
GAUGAACGCUGGCGGCGUGCUUAACACAUGCAAGUCGAACGGUGAAGCAGAGCUUGCUCUGUGGAUCAGUGGCGAACGGGUGAGUAACACGUGAGCAACCUGCCCCUGACUCUGGGAUAAGCGCUGGAAACGGCGUCUAAUACUGGAUAUGAGCUGCGACCGCAUGGUCAGCAGUUGGAAAGAUUUUUCGGUCUGGGAUGGGCUCACGGCCUAUCAGCUUGUUGGUGUGGUAAUGGCUCACCAAGGCGUCGACGGGUAGCCGGCCUGAGAGGGUGACCGGCCACACUGGGACUGAGACACGGCCCAGACUCCUACGGGAGGCAGCAGUGGGGAAUAUUGCACAAUGGGCGAAAGCCUGAUGCAGCAACGCCGCGUGAGGGAUGACGGCCUUCGGGUUGUAAACCUCUUUUAGCAGGGAAGAAGCGAAAGUGACGGUACCUGCAGAAAAAGCGCCAGCUAACUACGUG